CCUACGGGAGGCAGCAGUGAGGAAUAUUGGUCAAUGGACGCAAGUCUGAACCAGCCAUGCCGCGUGCAGGAAGACGGCUCUAUGAGUUGUAACCUGCUUUUGUACGAGGGUAAACGCACAUACGCGUCUCUGUCUGAAGGUAUCGUACGAAUAAGGAUCGGCUAACUCCGUGCCAGCCGCCGCGGUAAUACGGAGGAUUCAAGCGUUAUCCGGAUUCAUUGGGUUUAAAGGGUGCGUAGGCGGGCGCUUAAGUUAGAGGUGAAAUCCCGAGGCUCAACUUCCGAAGUGCCUCCGAUACUGGGCGCCUAGAGAGUAGUUGCGGUAGGCGGAAUGUAUGGGGUAGCGGUGAAAUGCAUAGAGAUCAUACAGAACACCGAUUGCGAAGGCAGCGUACCAAGCUACUUCUGACGUUGAGGCACGAAAGCGUGGGGAGCAAACAGGAUUAGAUACCCUUGUAGUC
RNAcentral lists this ribosomal RNA (460 nucleotides) under uncultured bacterium. RNAcentral describes it as "partial 16S ribosomal RNA". It matches the Rfam family "Bacterial small subunit ribosomal RNA", at positions 338 to 795 of the family's 1533-position model. The record is from RNAcentral.